GUGACUGUUUUGGGCCCCAGUUUCCUUCCUGUUUGAAUCUAAUAUUCCUUCCUGCAUGAAUCUAAUAAUGAUUUAUCCUGACUCCCAGUCAGGGCUGGACCACGAGAGGAGGAGUGGAGGAAUAGUUGGAGGAGGAGAGGCGAAUGAGGGGUAACAGACACGGAGGAGUGUAGCUGACACAGUCUGAGUGGACAACGAGACAGGAAGUGACCUCAGUUUGAACAUUGACCCUGGAGCUGUGAGAUGGGACGCAAGCAUGCGAGCAUCUUGACCAGGAACAUAUUGUUGUUCAUGCAGGGUGCCACUGUCGCUGUGGACUCCUGCUCUGACCGUCCGGCAGCUCCUGUCCUUAUCACCGACAUCACCACCCGGACCCGUACAGGAGCGGAGAAUGCAGAGGAGCGUCUGGUGAACUACCUGUUGAGUCCAGAGCGUUAUAACAAACUGAUCCGUCCUGCUGUUAACAAGAGCCAGCAGGUUACCAUCUCUAUACAGGUGUCUCUGUCACAGCUCAUUAGUGUGAAUGAGAGAGAACAGAUUAUGACCACCAACCUCUGGCUGUUCCAGGAGUGGAAUGACUACAGACUGAGAUGGGACCCAGAGAAAUACGAAGGCAUCAAAAAACUACGAAUCCCAUCUCAACACAUCUGGCUUCCUGAUAUUGUUCUCUACAACAAUGCGGACGGUGUGUACGAGGUCUCCUUCUAUUGCAACGCCGUGGUGUCCAACACAGGAGACAUCUUCUGGCUCCCGCCUGCCAUCUACAAGUCAGCCUGCGCCAUCGAGGUCCAGCACUUCCCCUUCGACCAGCAGAACUGCACGCUCAAGUUCCGCUCGUGGACCUACGACCACACCGAAGUCGACCUCAUCCUCACCAGCGACUUCGCCAGCCGGGACGACUUCACGCCGAGCGGCGAGUGGGACAUCGUGUCGCUGCCCGCCCGCAAGAACGAAGACCCCGACGACAUCACUUACCUGGACAUCACCUACGACUUUGUCAUCAAGAGGAAGCCUCUGUUCUACACCAUCAACCUGAUCAUCCCCUGUGUCCUCAUCACCUCUCUGGCCAUCCUGGUCUUCUACCUGCCCUCUGACUGUGGGGAGAAGAUGACCCUGUGUAUCUCUGUCCUGCUGGCCCUCACUGUCUUCCUGCUGCUCAUCUCUAAGAUAGUACCGCCCACCUCUCUGGCAGUGCCUCUCAUAGGUAAAUACCUGAUGUUCACUAUGGUACUGGUCACCUUCUCUAUCGUGACCAGUGUGUGUGUCCUCAACGUUCACCACCGCUCCCCGUCCACCCACCACAUGCCUGACUGGGUCAAACGCCUCUUCCUGCUCCGCCUCCCCGCCUUCCUCCUCAUGAGACGACCCGGGAACAAUAACGUCCAGGAAAAAGUUAGACGGAAGCACGCCACUGCCGGGAACACCACCUCCGCGAACCCUGGAAAUUCCCGAGGAGGGGCGAAAAAGCGCUAUUUCCGACAUCAAGCUGGGAGGAAUCCAGACGGACUCUGA
Long non-coding RNA from Oncorhynchus kisutch (coho salmon), 1512 nucleotides. NCBI's taxonomy places the organism in Eukaryota, Metazoa, Chordata, Actinopteri, Salmoniformes, Salmonidae. The record is from Ensembl.